This 73-nucleotide transfer RNA is filed under the name Trichonephila inaurata madagascariensis. It matches the Rfam family "tRNA". From Rfam's summary of the family: Transfer RNA (tRNA) molecules are approximately 80 nucleotides in length. Their secondary structure includes four short double-helical elements and three loops (D, anti-codon, and T loops). Lineage: Eukaryota; Metazoa; Arthropoda; Arachnida; Araneae; Nephilidae. The record is from Rfam by way of RNAcentral.
GUCCCUGUAGCGCAAUGGAUAGCGUGUUAGAUUUCUAUUUCAAAGGUCGUGGGUUCAAAUCCUACCUGGGAUG